AUUUAUAUACUAUAUUAUAGAUACUUAGUAGGUACUUACACGAAGUUGUACCUGUUGUCUAGUAAAUUUUUAAAUUUUUCGGUAACUAAGUUGUGUGAAAUGAAAAUUUAAUUGAAAAACGAAAAUCUUUCCUCCGAAAAAUCAAAAUCACACGAAGCUUCCAGAAAUACGUCUUGCUAUCUCUAUUUCAGAUUUCUAGUGAAAAUCAAAAGCAAACUUAAUGCAAAUACUUUUCUUUCCCCGCUUCAUUAGGAUUAAUUACCUAGGUACCUAAUAUGAUGACAUUAUAAUAUUAUACAACACUUCACAACUGUGUAUUGGUAAUUGUAUCUGUUUAAAAAAAAAAAUAGUUUUUAGGUACCUAUAUAGUUUUAAUUUAAUUUGAUGAAUAUUGAGUUAUUGAAUAUGCUUAAUUAAUUAUUAUUUAUUAUACAUUGUCCUCAGUAUCACCACAUAGGCGGAAAUCGGGGGGGGGCUUGCAGAAACCAAGCCCCCCCAGAAGCUUAAAGUACAGCUAUUUUAAUACAGUAAACAGUAGUGCAUAUAAGUGUAAUAAGCAUAUUAUAUUGCUUGAAUGGCGGACAAUUUCAACCCGGACAUUUUCCCCCAACAUAUUUUCGAUGCGAACCCCCAUUUUUUUUUUAGGUUUAUUAUUUAAUAUUUAAUAAGAAAUUAUUUUUUCCAAUAAAAUAUAAUUUUUUUUUAUAAAUAAAAUCAAUUAUACUAUAAUUGCUUAUUAUAGUAGAUGUAUAUUUUUGAUCAAUUCAACUACUUGAAAAAAUAAAAUAAUAGUAAUAUUAUAUUUAAAAGAUAGUCUAAAUAAAAAAGUAAUAGUACUAGCAUAUUGUAUUAUUCGCUAGUAACAUUGAAAUCUAAAAUUGUAUCUAAAACCCAAUCAAUUGCUGGGCUGUCAAAAAUUAUCUUAUUAUUUGAUUUAGACUAUUAAGAUAAGAUUCUUCUACAAUCUUAUAUCUUCAUGAGCAAAGGUUUUGGACUUUUAGUAGUGGUUUAGUGGUUGUAACUCGUAAUUCGUAAAGUGAAAAAUAUAUAAAAUAAAAAUCGUUAGAUUUUUUUUUUUUGUUUGUGAUCGUGGAUAAAAUAGAAAUUAUUAAAACUGACAGGGGAGGUUUAAAGAUUGUUUUAAUGAUUAUAUAUACCUAUACAAAAUAAAAAAAUCUUGCUAACAACAAAAUUAGAUGGGAGUGUGUGGAAAAAAAAAAGAAAAAAUGUAAAGAGUUUUUGCAGAAGAAACGUCUAAUUUAUCAAAUGAAGCAAUGGUUUUAUUGACAGAUGAAAAAUCGAUCAAAAGAUCACUAAGAAGAAUUCGGAAUAAAUAGUACCUUUCACUAUGCCCUUUAUCGGAAUUGAAAAUAAAUAGUAAUUGGGCUACUACAGGAGGUGCCGAACCAAAACAAUUUUUAUUAUUUGAUAAUGAAAACAAUGACAAUCGAUUAAUUGUUUUUGCGUCUCCCGAAGGAAUGUUAGAGCUGUCAAAAUUGACCAAGUGGUAUAUGGAUGGAACAUUUUUCACUUGUCCUAAAGAAUUUCAUCAAGUAUACAUAAUUCACGUAUGUAUUAAAAACACAUCAAUUUCGUGUGUUUAUGCUUUAUUACAAAGAAAAAAUAAAGAAAUCUAUGUUGAACUUUUAUUAAAACUUAAAAGUAUGUUGUCUGAGUUGAAAUUAAAAACUAUAAGUAUUGAUUUUAAACAAUCAAUGAUUGAAUUAGUAUUUGUCGACAUUAAUAUUCAAUGCUGUUAUUAUCAUCUUCCCAAAGUAUUUGGCGUAUAGGUAGUUCAAAACAUAGGAUUAGCUAAAAAGUACAAACUACAAAGAAAAUGAAAAUGUUCGUUAAAUGGUUGCCAUGAUUAAAGGUUUAGCAUUAUUACCUCUAAAAUAUGUUAAGAAAAGUAUGUCUGUGUUGUAUGAUUUAUCAAAAGACUUCAAUGAUCCAGAUAUCGAUGAACUAUUGUUAUACUUUGAUAGAACGUACGUCGAUGGGACUUACAAGAGAACUACUACACAAUCAAAUGGUUUGUCAUUAUGGCGAUCUUCACUAAUAUUUCCUCCUUAUUUAUGGAAUGUACAUAAUGCUACAAAGAAAAACAAAUGUAGAACAAAUAAUAUAAGUGAAGAGUGAAGGCAUAUGAGUGAAGGUUUCAAUAACAAAUUUAAAACUUUGGUAAGAACUCAGCAUGCAAAUAUUUGGAUGUUCAUUGAAGCACUACAAAAGUCAAAUUCAAUGGCAAUUAAUAAACUAUUAAAAAUUAAAACAGAUACGGUUUUUUUAACAGAAAUUCAAAUCAGAAAUUAAAUGUGUUUCACAAAAUAUAUCAUUUUUAUGUCGAAAUUUUUAGACUAUAUUUCAUAAAUAUUUUUUAACCUUUUAUACUUAUAUAAUUUUUUUACUUUUUGUUAUACAAUUUUUAUUAUAUUUAUGAAAAAAAAAUGAAAUUUUUAAUCUAUUUUACUUACCUAUAUGUAUACAUUUUUUUACAUUUUAAUUAUAUUUAUGAAAAAAAUAAUUUCUUAUUAAAUAAUAAACUUAAAAAAAAUGGGGGGAAAAUGUCCUACUAUGCCAAAAACAGUCGGCGGGAAAUUGUCCGGUUACCAUAUUACGGUUACAUUAUUUAUCAUAAAAUAAAUAUAAAAUUGUCUGUUAAACAAUUCUCAUAACUUCAUUUAAUUUUAAAAACGUGAAAUCAAAAAACUAUUUUAAGAAAUUCCUUAUUUCUGAAUUUAUUUUGUAAUUCCAAUUUAGACCAAAUAAUUGAAUUUUUCUUUACCAAAUUUGACCUAAAUAUUAAAAUCCUAAAAUAUACUUGAAUCCGUUCAUUCAAACUGACGGCCAAAAAAUUAUUAAAUAUUAUGUCUUAUAAUCUGUUUUAAAGUUACUUUUUUAAAAUAGAACUACUCGAACUAGAAUGAAAGAAAUAAAUAGAGUUGGACUUCUAGUACUUAAAAAUCUAAAAGUAUGUAUGCACUUAUGCACUUAAACAUCAAGAAUAUGAGCUAAAAAUAUGCUUUUUUAUUUUAUUAUUUUAUCUAAUUAUAAUAUUUAUGUAGAGAAUCAUUAAACUUCGAAACAUAACUUUUUAAACGAAAAGGCAAUGAUUAUUUUUUCUUUGCAUAUUUGAAAAUGAAAAAAUAAUAUUUAAAGUUUGAAAUAUGUAGAUGGGGUACGCGACGAAAAUAUUUUAUGCAGUGCUCUCAAUGAUAAAACUAGUACGCGCCAAAAUAUGACGGACAACUAAAGUUCACUUCCUAUAUGAAUUACGGUUUUAUCGGCUUAUUAAUUAUUAGUCAGAUAGUAAAUUUAAAAUUACGUAACCGAUAAUGAAAAUAUUAUUUUUAAAUGGAAAAUUUACUAUUUUGUCCGAUAAUUUUAUAAUUUAUUUCAAAAAUUUGCCAAAUAUGUUCUUAAUUUUUCUAAUAUACCCAAAUAUGUAUUUUUAUGC
Aphis gossypii (cotton aphid) is the source of this 3457-nucleotide long non-coding RNA. RefSeq lists it as uncharacterized. Lineage: Eukaryota; Metazoa; Arthropoda; Insecta; Hemiptera; Aphididae. The record is from RefSeq and is a predicted model, not a curated record. The transcript is spliced from 3 exons.